This 301-nucleotide ribosomal RNA is filed under the name uncultured bacterium. RNAcentral's name for it is "partial 16S ribosomal RNA". It matches the Rfam family "Bacterial small subunit ribosomal RNA", at positions 509 to 807 of the family's 1533-position model. The record is from RNAcentral.
CAGUAGCCGCGGUAAUACGUAGGUGGCAAGCGUUGUCCGGAAUUAUUGGGCGUAAAGGGCUCGCAGGCGGUUUCUUAAGUCUGAUGUGAAAGCCCCCGGCUCAACCGGGGAGGGUCAUUGGAAACUGGGAAACUUGAGUGCAGAAGAGGAGAGUGGAAUUCCACGUGUAGCGGCGAAAUGCGUAGAGAUGUGGAGGAACACCAGUGGCGAAGGCGACUCUCUGGUCUGUAACUGACGCUGAGGAGCGAAAGCGUGGGGAGCGAACAGGAUUAGAGACCCGAGUAGUCCCUGUCUCUUAUAC